GAAGCUUCUUGGGAGCAAGGCUCAAGUCUUUUGUACUUCGCAUUUGGAUCCCAGCUCUGCCACUUAGAAGUGAUGUGACCUUGGCAAAGGUCACUAAAACUUGGUAACAAUGGAUGAAUAAUAUUACCUGCCUGAAGAGUAAAUGAGAAACGCCACAUGAAGGCCUUAGCACAGUGCCUGACAUGAAGAAUAUUUGUUUGUUUGUUUGAAGCCAUUGAACCAGGAGAAAAAAAUUACUUUUUCCCACUUUGGAGACACCUUGUGGACAAUCCAUUGAGAAUUCCGUAACAUACAGUUAACAACCAUUUUGAAGGCCAACACAUUGUCGGGCCUUGGACCAGGCUUUGGAGAUGAAAAUAAAGAAGAUGGGAGUUUUCUUUUAUUAUUCAUCAGACCGAAGGGUGUGGUCAUCAAACCUGGUCCAAGGGAAGAAUAACUGGAUUGGACUCCUGCCUCUGACAGGUGAUGGCAGAACAGUCGCCUAUGGUCGCUGCGUCUCAGGUUCCUAACCUGUACCCUUAGUGAUGGGCAUGGAUGAUCUCGCUGGGCCAUCCAGCUCUAACGCUGGACGUUGGCGAGUCUGUGAGCACAGGCAGAAUCACGAGUAACUGGAAGAAUCUUGCUCCCGUGUUCUCAGAAGAGCCUGGCCAGCGUGGACCAUGCCAGACAAGAUGGAGACACCUUCACGGCCUGUUAGUCACAUCUCACCAAAGCUUCUCAACGGGCUGUCAGACAAGAAAGGAGCCUCCUGUAGCCACCUUAAUCAGCAUCCGCCAUCUGUGAGGUCAUCGGGAUGUUUCCCUUUGCAGCUCUCAUUAGUUGAGCGUUUUCCACAGGCAAGUCCUUAUCUUUUGUACCUUUGGCUGCCCCAUCCUGGGAAAGCCUUUCU
Myotis myotis is the source of this 889-nucleotide long non-coding RNA. RefSeq lists it as uncharacterized. The record is from RefSeq and is a predicted model, not a curated record. The transcript is spliced from 3 exons. NCBI's taxonomy places the organism in Eukaryota, Metazoa, Chordata, Mammalia, Chiroptera, Vespertilionidae.